This is a small nucleolar RNA of Dendrobium catenatum, 106 nucleotides long. The record is from RefSeq and is a predicted model, not a curated record. Lineage: Eukaryota; Viridiplantae; Streptophyta; Magnoliopsida; Asparagales; Orchidaceae.
AAUGCAUGAUGUGGACAUUUUCUAAGCAAUUCCUUAAAUCUUCCCAACUCCUAAAAAUGGUUUCUCCUUCAAAUUGAGUUAAAGAUGUUAUGUCAUUUCUAAGUUU